This 498-nucleotide ribosomal RNA is filed under the name uncultured bacterium. RNAcentral describes it as "partial 16S ribosomal RNA". It matches the Rfam family "Bacterial small subunit ribosomal RNA", at positions 28 to 507 of the family's 1533-position model. The record is from RNAcentral.
GACGAACGCUGGCGGCGUGCCUAAUACAUGCAGGUCGAGCGGACGAUUCGAAAGCUUGCUUUUGAAUCGUUAGCGGCGGACGGGUGAGUAACACGUGGGCAACCUGCCCUGUAGACGGGGAUAACACCGAGAAAUCGGUGCUAAUACCGGAUAACACGAAAUGUCGCAUGACGUUUCGUUGAAAGGCGGCGCAAGCUGCCGCUACAGGAUGGGCCCGCGGCGCAUUAGCUAGUUGGUGAGGUAACGGCUCACCAAGGCGACGAUGCGUAGCCGACCUGAGAGGGUGAUCGGCCACACUGGGACUGAGACACGGCCCAGACUCCUACGGGAGGCAGCAGUAGGGAAUCUUCCGCAAUGGACGAAAGUCUGACGGAGCAACGCCGCGUGAGCGAAGAAGGCCUUCGGGUCGUAAAGCUCUGUUGUUAGGGAAGAACAAGUAACGUAGUAACUGACGUUACUAUGACGGUACCUAACGAGAAAGCCACGGCUAACUACGUG